AGGGGUGUACUUCAAGUGGUAGAAUAUGUAUGCUUAGCAUGCAUUAGGCCCUGGGUUCGAUCCCAACACCCCCU
This 74-nucleotide transfer RNA is filed under the name Marmota monax (woodchuck). Its description in RNAcentral is "tRNA.Ala". The record is from RNAcentral. Lineage: Eukaryota; Metazoa; Chordata; Mammalia; Rodentia; Sciuridae.